UUAUGCCUUUACCACUUCAAACCGGAAAGGUGUUGCAACAUAACAGUUUUAAUUGCUAAACCCUAGCUGCAAACCCAAAUCUCUGGAUUUAAUAAGAAUUGGGUGUGAAAGACUGUGAACAGUGGCAGUUUUCUGCCAGGUUUACCUUCUUUCCUGCUCUUGGUUGAGAUUUGCGGACCUUUGUAUCCACUGUGGUCUCCUUGGAACAAGCAACUGGAAAUUCUUCACACCAGCUAUGGCUGGUAGGAAUUUCGGGCCACAACUCAGGGUCAUAAUGGUGAAGAGGAUGGUGACAUCCAAGGACAACCACAGGGCCUCUCUCCUGACACUGGUGAGAACCAGAUUCCUUUCCCUGGUUCUGUAGCUCCCAGCAGAGUUUUGGAAGCUGAUUAAAGAGAAUGUUGGAAAUAACAGGCAAUUAGAAACCU
This 428-nucleotide long non-coding RNA is filed under the name Homo sapiens (human). Its description in RNAcentral is "HSALNT0055153". The record is from RNAcentral. Lineage: Eukaryota; Metazoa; Chordata; Mammalia; Primates; Hominidae.